UAAAAAGUGGCUGUCGACAAACAUUUGGAUUUGACAAAGUGCAGGUCAGCCGAACGAUUUAUUAAGUCUGAUGUCAACCACUAAGUUAUGAAUUCAAGACCAGAACUGACCAGCGAGAUAGAGGAUACUCCGAUUGCUCAUCUGAGCAUGUUCAACGGGGCCGUACAGUUUCGUGGCAGAGUUGAUGUCAAUAGUCAAGAGGCAAUACAGGAGACAAACAUGAACGCCACAGCAGGACGAGGAUACCACUAUCAUGCAGACAUUAUACAUCCCUGAACUCAAAGUAACACGUUUAUCAAUAAAAGAUUCACGAUGGCUCUAUUGGGUUACUGCUUCACCAGAAAGUGUGUUUUUGGUAUCGUUAACAGAUGUUCUAGAUUUCGGUGCCGCAUAGCGUGUGCCAUUUUUCGGCAUUUACUUUAGAUCUAACUAAAAUGGCGUCUAUUCUAUCCUUCCUAUUUUUACCAGGAAUUAUUUAGGGUUGUACUACGAGAAUAAACGCAGACAGAUAAAACAGAUGGUCUAGAUUUCGUUGCCGCAUAGCGUGUGCCAUUUUUCGGCAUUUACUUUAGAUCUAACUAAAAUGGCGUCUACUCUUUCCUUCCUAUUUUUACCCGGAAUUAUUGUGGGAUUGUACUAAGAGAAUAGGCGCAGACAGAUAGAUUUCACACACACAGCUCUGAGAUAAUUGCACUGUCCAAACGGCAAACGUUUGACGCGUCAUCCGUUUGCACUGUGUUUAGAUUGUGUUUGGGCAAAGCCUUAACAUGUCAAAUAGGCUGAUACUUUACUUAUGUUUGCAGAAAGUUGUUUAUAACCGUUCGCCUUAUCAUGGUUGGCAUGAACGACUUGCCGUACGUAUGAGCAGUGGUCAAGGAGUUAGUUCGACAUGAUUCAAAGACCACUCUGUUGAACAGCAGUGCUCAGACGGACUUCACCCUGGCUUGCUACAGCUUACCAAAAUGCACAUGACUCAAGAUCAAUAUAUGUUAAAUAUUCAAGAGUAAACAUUAGAACAAUCAACAACAGUUUCAAAGGUUUAAUCUGACCAAACAAAAACCCUAAUUUUUUUACAUUAAAUGUGUGCGAUACAUUAAACAAUAUUAUUAGCAUCGUGGCAUUGUCUCGGGAUUGCUUACAGUAAUUAUGUAUUUUGUUUUAUUAGUCAUAAGUCAACUGUACGAUCCAUCCCCUAUCUUCACACCGAACACCCUGUACCUCUUACAGUCUAUAUUUAUAUAUGGGGUUAAGAAACAAACAAAUUGACUUGAGUAAGAUUUAAACCAACGACCUCCGGAACAAUCAUCCGGACGCCGUUGGUUCAAACGCCACCCCAAUUUUGUUUUCUGUGUUCAACCCCCAACACUUUUAUAAUGACAUUAUAAAUAAAUAUUUAUUCAUUUAGGUAAUACAUUCAAUAAAUAUUACUCCCACCAUAAUCUGUGCGAUAAUACAAGGCAUGUAUUGCUUAUGAUAACCAUCUAUUUCACAUUACGAUCCCAAACUACCUUCUUUUAAAGUCUAAGUUGUGAUGUGUUCAUGUAAAAAGGGAAAAAAAUAAAAACAUACAUGAUUUUUUAGGUUUUUUCCAACCGCUUGUGUCCUUCCAGUUGUUCAUUUUGUUUAUCGAUACAGUUUCCUCACCAAUAUUUCAACUCACCCCCAAAAUGCGAGUUUCCAUUUCAUGUCUACUUUCUCGUUCAUUAUCCUUUUCGUUUUCGUCCCGUCCAUUCUUUCGCAUUUUAAAAAUAAUAUCGCACUAUACCUUGGUGAGUUAUACUAUUACUAUGAUAAACCCUAAAGACUUGACACUAAAACUGUUUUUGAUUUUGUUUUGUUUAAUGUUACAUUUAAAAGGGAUUUUAUGUAAAACUGCGAUCAGUAGUAAACUCGGCACAUUUCCCCCUUACUCGACGUUGUCUUGAGGGCGCCCUUUUAAACGUACAGAGAACCCUAUCAAUGUUGUUGUUGUUGUUGUUUUUUUGCCAGAAGAUAAUAAUACUGC
Long non-coding RNA from Asterias rubens (European starfish), 2005 nucleotides. RefSeq lists it as uncharacterized. The record is from RefSeq and is a predicted model, not a curated record. NCBI's taxonomy places the organism in Eukaryota, Metazoa, Echinodermata, Asteroidea, Forcipulatida, Asteriidae. The transcript is spliced from 3 exons.